Molecule: small RNA, 115 nt
Filed under: Marmota monax (woodchuck)
Lineage: Eukaryota; Metazoa; Chordata; Mammalia; Rodentia; Sciuridae
Source: RNAcentral
GCCAGGUGCAUUGAGGGUGUCAAGUGCGCCUGUAAUCCCAGCUACUGAGGAGGCUGAGGCAAGAGGAUUCCUAGUUUGAGGCCAGGCUCUACAAUUUAGCCAGACCCUGCCUCAA